GUAAACUUUGAAACACAUUGAAGAUAAAAGAAGAGUUGUUUAUGAGCCAAUGAUGAAAGUGUAUAAAGGGGCACAGGUAUUUUGCAAUAUCCAUCUGGAGAUCUCAUUAAAAUUUGAAAGCACCUUGAAGAGAACAGCUUUAAAAUAAGAAGGAUUGGCUGAGCUUGAGUGAUGUUGAUAUUGGACUAUCAUUUCCUGCAGAGAGAAGAGUGGCUUAUGUGGUGAAUCUUCUUUCCUACAUACAUUUGCUAAAAUGCUUCCCGCACAUGCAUUUUGCAGGAUUCUCAUGAGAAAAGUUUAAUGUGGCAUUUUGGUUAUUCUGCAGCUUCUGGCCAUGAACCUUUGCAUAUUAUUCUCUCCUACCGACAACUGCCUAGGGGAGAGUGGGGGAGAGAUCUGUGGGCACCGAAUGGCCACAUCCC
Molecule: long non-coding RNA, 422 nt
Filed under: Homo sapiens (human)
Lineage: Eukaryota; Metazoa; Chordata; Mammalia; Primates; Hominidae
Description: HSALNT0079087
Source: RNAcentral